GUGUUAAUGACGCUGAGGGUCCACCUGUUCCCAUACCGAACACAGAAGUUAAGCUCAGUGGUGCCGAAAAUACUUGGCUGGCGACGGCCCGGGAAAAUAGGGAGAUGCC
This 109-nucleotide ribosomal RNA is filed under the name uncultured Ruminococcus sp. The record is from RNAcentral. Lineage: Bacteria; Bacillati; Bacillota; Clostridia; Eubacteriales; Oscillospiraceae.